GAAAUGCGAUAAGUAAUGUGAAUUGCAGAAUUCAGUGAAUCAUCGAAUCUUUGAACGCACCUUGCGCUCCUUGGUAUUCCUUGGAGCAUGCCUGUUUGAGUAUCAUGAAAUCUUCAAAGUAAAUCUUUUGUUAACUCAAUUGGUUUCUACUUAGGUAUUGGAGGUCUUUGCAGCUUCACACCUGCUCCUCUUUGUUCAUUAGCUGGAUCUCAGUGUUAUGCUUGGUUCCACUCGGCGUGAUAAGUUAUCUAUCGCUGAGGACACUGUAAAAGGUGGCCAAGGUAAAUGCAGAUGAACCGCUUCUAAUAGUCCAUUGACUUGGACAAUACUUUUAUGAUCUGAUCUCAAAUCAGGUAGGACUACCCGCUGAACUUAAGC
This 378-nucleotide unclassified non-coding RNA is filed under the name plant metagenome. RNAcentral's name for it is "partial contains 5.8S ribosomal RNA, internal transcribed spacer 2, and large subunit ribosomal RNA". The stretch from base 1 to 105 matches the Rfam family "5.8S ribosomal RNA", at positions 50 to 154 of the family's 154-position model. The record is from RNAcentral.